Molecule: ribosomal RNA, 1503 nt
Filed under: Triticum aestivum (bread wheat)
Lineage: Eukaryota; Viridiplantae; Streptophyta; Magnoliopsida; Poales; Poaceae
Description: partial small subunit ribosomal RNA
Source: RNAcentral
AUGGAGUGCGAAAUCAACUCUGCUUUGUUCCCAUGCCAAAUGCAAAAAAACAACGGAGAUGAUAGAAUCAGCACCUUGCCCAGUGACAUUCUGGUCAACAUUCUUGACCGACUUGAUGUCCGUGAAGCUGUGAGAACCAGUAUCCUCUCCAGACGGUGGAGUCAGCUCUCUUGCAAGCUCUCACGACUUAUCAUAAAUGCUCAGCCUGAUGGUGUGUCUAGCUCCAACAUCUCUGAUGGUGACUUGGUUCGGAUCAAUGCAGCUGUUGUUGAAGCGACAAAGAGCUUACUGACCCGCAGAUAUCCAGGCGAAGACACCAUCAGCCUCCUGUCUACCACGUUCUACUUGAGAGGUGAUGCCCCCAUAUCCAUUGGACAUGCUGUUGGCAGCGCCAUGAUGACACACAAGAUUGAGGAAGCUGAAUUCACAGUUUUGACAGUGAAGAAUCGCCUAUAUUGCACUCUUGAUGAUGUGUUGAACUAUGGGACACAGUUUGUGUCAUUUUUUAAUGAGUGUCUGAAUGCAUUUACUGGUUUGACGCGCCUCUACAUGGAGAAUUUGAGAUUUGCUGAAUCUGACUUCGUCUCCAACAUCUUCGUCACUUGCAAGCGAUUAAAAUAUUUAGGUUUUCUCAAUUGCGACACAAAGAAGCAUUUAACACUCCAGGUCAAACACGCUCAACUAAGUGAGCUCAGUAUGGUCAACUGCCGUUUUUACAAAGUCGAACUCAAGUGGCUCCCAAGACUCACUCGGACAACGUUCACAUGUUGGAUGGCUUUUGAAGAACUACCACUGUCAUUUGGUCAUGUCCCUCUGCUUGAGUUUUUGAACCUCACAAAUAUCGGUCUUAGUCGGAACAAAAUGGUCAUGUUAAGUACAUUACUUUGUGAGACACACAUACAAGAACUGCAAUUGGGGUUUAAAUGCGAAAAGAUUUGGGUUCAACCAGAGUGUCUGAGCGAAAGGCUGGCUUCUGCGUUCCACAGACUAAGGAUUGUCAGUCUAGUUAGCAUUCCUGAAGGGUCUGAUCUUACGUGGACAAUUUUCAUUUUGGAAGCUGCGCCAUCACUUGAAGAGUUGUACAUGUCGGUAAUUGAUCAUCCGUGUGAGAUGAUAAUGGAUAAGAAAAGGAGGACGGAACUCUUGCUUUGCGAAAAGAAGGGCGUCGAGUGGGAAUCACCUAGAUCAAAUUUCAAGCACCGCCGCCUUGCCAAGCUCAUCAUCUUUUGCUUUGUAAAUUGCAUGGUGAGUUAUGUCAGGCGUGUCAUGAAAGCAGCGGUGAAUCUGAAGGAUGUGUACCUGUAUGAUAGACUGGCAUGUAGCAAGUGUGAACACAUGGCCAUUUUUAAGCCUGGUAGGCUUCCACGGGCAAAGAAGAAGUUGAAUGCGAUGAAGAAGUUGUUGACCCAGGGCAUCGAGUCAGCUCCCAGAAUUCACCUGCUGACUGAUUGUGAAAUGGAAGCUGACCAUGCUGCAAGGGUUAAAGACUUCUUAUGUUCCUGA